RNAcentral lists this unclassified non-coding RNA (223 nucleotides) under Hevea brasiliensis (rubber tree). Lineage: Eukaryota; Viridiplantae; Streptophyta; Magnoliopsida; Malpighiales; Euphorbiaceae. The record is from RNAcentral.
CACAACUACCAGCCGACACCUGGAGACAUUCUGAAGGCGCAAGACGCAAACCUUGUCCUCUGGAACGGGCUCAAUCUUGAACUUUGGUUCGAAAAGUUUUUCCAACGGCUGANNNNNNNNNNGGUGGUCGCCCCCCAGGGCGUCCAGCCGAUGGGCAUCGUGGAGGGCCCCUAUAAAGACAAGCCCAAUCCGCAUGCAUGGAUGUCGCCGAGUGCAGCGCUCA